AUUGGAUGCAACCGGAUUGAAGUUAACUCUGAUAACUCUGAGGUUAUAAUUACAAUGCAAGAAGGAUCUUCUUCUGCGGUGGCAAGUGCAGUCUUUGAUGACUGUCAAUUCAUGGCGCUAGAUUUUUCGCAUGUAAUCUAUGAGCACUGUAACAGAGAAGAGAAUCAAGUAGCACAUGGACUGGCUAAGUUAGCCAGAUUAGCCCCUCCUAGAGUCUGGAUGGAUGAUGCCCCUAAUGGGAUUAUCCCUUUUAUUGUAAAUGAUGGCACCAUUCUUAUAAGUGAAUAA
Molecule: ribosomal RNA, 288 nt
Filed under: Triticum aestivum (bread wheat)
Lineage: Eukaryota; Viridiplantae; Streptophyta; Magnoliopsida; Poales; Poaceae
Description: partial small subunit ribosomal RNA
Source: RNAcentral